GAUGAACGCUGACAGAAUGCUUAACACAUGCAAGUCUACUUGAUCCUUCGGGUGAUGGUGGCGGACGGGUGAGUAACGCGUAAAGAACUUGCCCUGCAGUCUGGGACAACAUUUGGAAACGAAUGCUAAUACCGGAUAUUAUGUGAGUUUCGCAUGAAAUUCAUAUGAAAGCUAUAUGCGCUGCAGGAGAGCUUUGCGUCCUAUUAGCUAGUUGGUAAGGUAACGGCUUACCAAGGCAAUGAUGCAUAGCCGAGUUGAGAGACUGAUCGGCCACAUUGGGACUGAGACACGGCCCAA
This 297-nucleotide ribosomal RNA is filed under the name uncultured bacterium. Its description in RNAcentral is "partial 16S ribosomal RNA". It matches the Rfam family "Bacterial small subunit ribosomal RNA", at positions 28 to 334 of the family's 1533-position model. The record is from RNAcentral.